UACGAAGGGGGCUAGCGUUGCUCGGAAUUACUGGGCGUAAAGCGCACGUAGGCGGAUUGUUAAGUCGGGGGUGAAAUCCUGGAGCUCAACUCCAGAACUGCCUUCGAUACUGGCGAUCUCGAGUUCGGGAGAGGUGAGUGGAACUGCGAGUGUAGAGGUGAAAUUCGUAGAUAUUCGCAAGUACACCAGUGGCGAAGGCGGCUCACUGGCCCGAUACUGACGCUGAGGUGCGAAAGCGUGGGGAGCAAACAGG
RNAcentral lists this ribosomal RNA (253 nucleotides) under uncultured bacterium. RNAcentral's name for it is "partial 16S ribosomal RNA". It matches the Rfam family "Bacterial small subunit ribosomal RNA", at positions 524 to 776 of the family's 1533-position model. The record is from RNAcentral.